Molecule: ribosomal RNA, 294 nt
Filed under: uncultured bacterium
Lineage: Bacteria
Description: partial 16S ribosomal RNA
Rfam family: Archaeal small subunit ribosomal RNA
Source: RNAcentral
UGUGCCAGCCGCCGCGGUAAUACCGGCAGCACGAGUGAUGGCCGAUCUUAUUGGGCCUAAAGCGUCCGUAGCCGGCCGAGCAAGUCCGUUGGGAAAUCCACGCGCUCAACGCGUGGGCGUCCAGCGGAAACUGUUCGGCUUGGGGCCGGAGAACUCGAGGGGUACGUCCGGGGUAGGAGUGAAAUCCCGUAAUCCUGGACGGACCACCGGUGGCGAAAGCGCCUCGAGAAGACGGACCCGACGGUGAGGGACGAAAGCUAGGGUCUCGAACCGGAUUAGAUACCCUGGUAGUCC